UGUAGGGGAGGAAGAAAACACUUUUUUCUUUUCCUAUCCUGUUAGGCUCAGUUCCUGAGGUCUGUGAAUUAAACUGAUAAAUACAUAUCAACAGGAAAGAAAAAGAGACUUGUUUAUGUGCAUACGAGAGUCAACAAAAGAAGGAGCUGGCUCAUGGUGGGGUUAAAGUUAACGGCCUAAACGGUCUUUAGAUCAACAUUGGGGCUCUCAGUGGGCCCCGUACUUGUCACCUGACAAGUUUCCAGAAAAGUUUUGCUGAGUUGUACUUCUGUGAAGCAGAGGGAGGUACAGGACCAAACUGCCAGGUUACAGAAUGCUAGAGUGUUUCAAAUCGGAUCAUCUGCUCCUUCAAUGUCAAAACCAGCAGCAGUGUUUGCAAUUCUGUAUCACCAACACCAAAAGCAAAAUACCGACUGUUCUGUGUUCACCAGCAGGAUAACUGAAAAGACUUCCUGCUCCCAGCAUGCCUAAAACUCUCUGUGGAUGAGGAGACUUUUACUGCAGCCCUGAAAGAGCCUCUGCUUCUCUGGCUAUCUAAAACAACACCUGGGAUGAUCACAAGGGAAACUGGAUGAAAGGCAUCUAUUGUUGCUAAACUUAUCACAUUGUACACUGUGAUUUGUGUCUGUAUCCAGUUUUUAAAAAAGUAAAAUGAGAGUUAAAUUGGU
This is a non-coding RNA of Oryctolagus cuniculus (rabbit), 668 nucleotides long. The record is from RefSeq and is a predicted model, not a curated record. Lineage: Eukaryota; Metazoa; Chordata; Mammalia; Lagomorpha; Leporidae.